This 253-nucleotide ribosomal RNA is filed under the name uncultured bacterium. RNAcentral describes it as "partial 16S ribosomal RNA". It matches the Rfam family "Bacterial small subunit ribosomal RNA", at positions 524 to 776 of the family's 1533-position model. The record is from RNAcentral.
UACGUAGGGUCCAAGCAUUAUCCGGAAUUAUUGGGCGUAAAGAGCGUGUAGGUGUUCAUACGAGUCGGUCGUUAAAUCUUUGAGCUCAACUCAAAGACUGCGAGCGAUACUGUAUGAAUUGAGGUUUGCAGGGGCUAGCAGAAUUUCUGGAGUAGGGGUGAAAUCCGUUGAUACCAGAAGGAAUACCAAUGGCGAAGGCAGCUAGCUGGGCAAUACCAGACACUGAGACGCGAAAGCGUGGGGAGCAAACGGG